UACGGGGGGGGCAAGCGUUGUUCGGAAUUACUGGGCGUAAAGGGUGCGUAGGCGGCCUUGUAAGUGGGGUGUGAAAUCCCUCGGCUCAACCGAGGAACGGCGCUCCAAACUACAAGGCUUGAGGGAGACAGGGGUCAGCGGAACUGAUGGUGGAGCGGUGAAAUGCGUUGAUAUCAUCAGGAACACCGGUGGCGAAAGCGGCUGACUGGGUCUCUUCUGACGCUGAGGUACGAAAGCUAGGGUAGCGAACGGG
This 253-nucleotide ribosomal RNA is filed under the name uncultured bacterium. RNAcentral describes it as "partial 16S ribosomal RNA". It matches the Rfam family "Bacterial small subunit ribosomal RNA", at positions 524 to 776 of the family's 1533-position model. The record is from RNAcentral.